UCCUUUGUUUUUGUUCUUUGUUUUGUUUUGUUUUUGUUUUCUUUCUAUAAAAAAAUUGCAUUUUUGUUGAAAGUUUUAGGCUAUAGAAUAAUUUGAAGUCGAGUUUGCGGAGACUUGAGAAAAAUUCACAAGAUCGGUAUUGUUUUAACACUGUAAGUCUCCUGCAUAUGGAAAUUGAUUCGAAUUCUUAUUAUGUUUUAGCCUUAAAUUCCCGUUCUCUGACAGCUCUUGAG
Molecule: long non-coding RNA, 233 nt
Filed under: Lathyrus oleraceus (garden pea)
Lineage: Eukaryota; Viridiplantae; Streptophyta; Magnoliopsida; Fabales; Fabaceae
Description: Pisum sativum (pea) long non-coding RNA (PSAT_LNC031488)
Source: RNAcentral